RNAcentral lists this ribosomal RNA (253 nucleotides) under uncultured bacterium. RNAcentral's name for it is "partial 16S ribosomal RNA". It matches the Rfam family "Bacterial small subunit ribosomal RNA", at positions 524 to 776 of the family's 1533-position model. The record is from RNAcentral.
UACGUAGGGGGCAAGCGUUGUCCGGAUUUAUUGGGCGUAAAGAGCGUGUAGGCGGCCAGGUAGGUCAGCUGUGAAAACUCGAGGCUCAACCUCGAGACGCCGGUUGAAACCAUCUGGCUAGAGUCCGGAAGAGGAGAGUGGAAUUCCUGGUGUAGCGGUGAAAUGCGCAGAUAUCAGGAAGAACACCCGUGGCUAAGGCGGCUCUCUAGUAUGGUACUGACGCUGAGACGCGAAAGCGUGGGGAGCGAACAGG